This 605-nucleotide ribosomal RNA is filed under the name Staphylococcus epidermidis. Its description in RNAcentral is "bacterial SSU rRNA". It matches the Rfam family "Bacterial small subunit ribosomal RNA", at positions 71 to 661 of the family's 1533-position model. Lineage: Bacteria; Bacillati; Bacillota; Bacilli; Caryophanales; Staphylococcaceae. The record is from RNAcentral.
ACGAGGAGCUUGCUCCUCUGACGUUAGCGGCGGACGGGUGAGUAACACGUGGAUAACCUACCUAUAAGACUGGGAUAACUUCGGGAAACCGGAGCUAAUACCGGAUAAUAUAUUGAACCGCAUGGUUCAAUAGUGAAAGACGGUUUUGCUGUCACUUAUAGAUGGAUCCGCGCCGCAUUAGCUAGUUGGUAAGGUAACGGCUUACCAAGGCAACGAUGCGUAGCCGACCUGAGAGGGUGAUCGGCCACACUGGAACUGAGACACGGUCCAGACUCCUACGGGAGGCAGCAGUAGGGAAUCUUCCGCAAUGGGCGAAAGCCUGACGGAGCAACGCCGCGUGAGUGAUGAAGGUCUUCGGAUCGUAAAACUCUGUUAUUAGGGAAGAACAAAUGUGUAAGUAACUAUGCACGUCUUGACGGUACCUAAUCAGAAAGCCACGGCUAACUACGUGCCAGCAGCCGCGGUAAUACGUAGGUGGCAAGCGUUAUCCGGAAUUAUUGGGCGUAAAGCGCGCGUAGGCGGUUUUUUAAGUCUGAUGUGAAAGCCCACGGCUCAACCGUGGAGGGUCAUUGGAAACUGGAAAACUUGAGUGCAGAAGAGGAAAG